This is a long non-coding RNA of Canis lupus familiaris (dog), 772 nucleotides long. RefSeq lists it as uncharacterized. Lineage: Eukaryota; Metazoa; Chordata; Mammalia; Carnivora; Canidae. The record is from RefSeq and is a predicted model, not a curated record. The transcript has 4 exons.
GUAGCUCCUCCAUAAUGCUGGUGGGCCUCAUCCAGUCAGUUGAAGGCCUGCAAAAACAAAAAGACUAACCCUCUCCCAGUGAGAGUGAAUUCUUCCUGCCUUUGGACUUGGAGUGGAACCAUUGCAUUGGCUCUCCUGGGUCUCUGGCUUGCUGACUCACGCUACCGAUCUUAGGACUUGCCAACCUCCAUACACACUAGUUAACUUCCCUGAGACAAGGACCUAAUUAAUGCCAGUGUGUGGAUUACAGUUAUGGCCUGGAAAGCAGGACAACGUUCUACUAUCUCAAACCUAAAGGUCAUCUUCCGCAGAGCUACCUUUAUUCCACCACUAACUUCCCGCCGCUUCUGAGAAAACACAUGAAAAAAAAACUCAAGUCCUCCAACAAGGUCAGAAGCUUCACACGCACGUGGCCUUAGAAGCUGCCGGUGGGGACCGAGCCUGUGAAACCCGAGGACGCAAGGCAACGACAGGAUGCGGGUCACGGGGUCGCCGACCCCUCUGCGGGGUCACAACCUCCGUUCACCUUAGGCCGACCCAGCUUCUUUCCAGAACUCUCCCCCACCCCAGAAGAACUUGGGGGGGGGGGAGGGAGAGUGUCGGUUUUUCGAGGGGUCUGACGCUGCUUUAAAAAAAACAAAACAAAAAAACGGAGGUCUUAAUCUGUUUCCUAGGAGGUCACCUUGGAACAACCCCCGGGAGGGCUGGGGGCGGGGGCCGGCCUGGGCUCCCCAUCCUUCAGGGCCCCGCACCUGGGCUGAGCCUACAGCCA